Molecule: ribosomal RNA, 253 nt
Filed under: uncultured bacterium
Lineage: Bacteria
Description: partial 16S ribosomal RNA
Rfam family: Bacterial small subunit ribosomal RNA
Source: RNAcentral
UACGUAGGGCGCAAGCGUUGUCCGGAAUUAUUGGGCGUAAAGCGCUCGUAGGCGGCCUGUUGCGUCCGCUGUGAAAUCCCGGGGCUUAACCCCGGGCUUGCAGUGGAUACGGGCAGGCUGGAGGCAGGCAGGGGAGAACGGAAUUCCCGGUGUAGCGGUGAAAUGCGCAGAUAUCGGGAGGAACACCGGUGGCGAAGGCGGUUCUCUGGGCCUGUACUGACGCUGAGGAGCGAAAGCGUGGGGAGCGAACAGG